UCUUUGUUUUUCUUCUACGCUCUUUCAUUUCUUCAUUUUUGCUUCCACAUUUUCCUCUUUUCCUUCCCCUUCCAUCCACUUCUCAGAUCUCUGAAUCCCCACUCUACUUGACCAUCACCAUUGCCGUUUUCUCUUCUCCAGUCUCGCAUUCCCAUUGCCUCCCCACAUCGCGACAGUCUUCUAUUCUCUUCUCCAGAUCUCGCAUCCCCAAUGCCUCCCCACAUCCCUUCGUCCCUUUUUUUCACCUCAACAAUUGCAGCCACUGCCGUUGAGAUUACGGAGACAACAUGGCCUACGCAUAAUAGUCGUUCAGUGUAGAUUUGCCUCCAGAAUCUGUUAAUGCCUUGUUUGAUGGAUGUUUUAUCUAAGUUUGCAAGACAUUUCUUUCCUUGCAUUAUUAAUUUGUUUCGGUUAUAAUUUUGGAAAUACAGAACAUUUUAUAGGUACAAAUUUCAUGUAGAAUUGUUUAAUUUAUAAUCGCUAUUCAUUCUCUAUUGGAAGCAAGCAGCUUGAUUCUCUGCUUUGAAGUCCUUCAAAGUCCACAGUAGUUAUAUAUGUGCUGCAGGAUACUUAUGUGAAGAUAAUUGAGUGAAGAUAUUCCAAAUUGUUUCGGUAUCAGCUUUUCAGGCUGUCUUGAGCUUCCAAUUCCAAGCUUUUGAGUUUCAUUGUUUUUUCACUCUAAGAUGUCUGUUGAAUUUAGAAGUUAAUUAUCAUUGACAAACAUUGGAUUGAACUAAAUUAUCAUUCUGUAUUAUCUGUGUAUUGUGUUUCAGCAAAAAGAAAGUUUUGAUGAAAGCAACAAUGCACCAAUUAGAAUGCAGCAAGGAGUCUCCCAAUGACGAGGAUUGAAUACAGCAAGAAUGCAACAUUACAGCCUUCUAUAAGUAGUUGAAUCUCUGAAGAAGAAGUAAAGAACAAGUACAAGUAAAGAAGAAGCUUUUUCAAACUUUGGUGUAACUAUGGCGGUGAGUUAAAUGUUUCUCGUGGAAUGCAAUGGCAGUUGCCAA
Molecule: long non-coding RNA, 1007 nt
Organism: Arachis stenosperma
Lineage: Eukaryota; Viridiplantae; Streptophyta; Magnoliopsida; Fabales; Fabaceae
Exons: 2
Source: RefSeq, a predicted model, not a curated record